RNAcentral lists this ribosomal RNA (495 nucleotides) under uncultured bacterium. RNAcentral describes it as "partial 16S ribosomal RNA". It matches the Rfam family "Bacterial small subunit ribosomal RNA", at positions 28 to 507 of the family's 1533-position model. The record is from RNAcentral.
GAUGAACGCUGGCGGCGUGCCUAAUACAUGCAAGUAGAACGGUGAAGGAGGAGCUUGCGCGUCUGGAUGAGUCGCGAACGGGUGAGUAACGCGUAGGUAACCUGCCGGGUAUCGGGGGAUGACUGGUGGAAACGAUAGCUAAUACCGCAUGACAACAGUUAUGGGAGGUUAAUGGUUUAAAAGUGGGAUCUGCUAUGCGACCAGAUGGACUUGCGUUGUAUUUGGUAGUUGGGGAGCUAACGGCUGACCAAGGCGACGAGACAUAGCCGAAGGGGGAGGGUGGUAGGCCACCCUGGGAGGGGGACACGGCCCAGACGACUACGGGAGGCAGCAGUAGGGAACCUUCGGCAAUGGACGGGAAUCUUGCCGAGCAACGCCGCGUGAGUGAAGGAGGUUUUCCGGUCGUGAAGCUCUGUUGUAGGAGAAGAACGAGUGUCGGAGUGGAAAGUUCUCUCUGUGACGGUAUCUUACCAGGAAGCGACGGCUAACUACGUG